CUCCAGGAUGACGUCCGGGUCCCUAAGGGAAGACGGGACUGAACCAUCAGAGGAAUCCUGACGUCAGACCCUGGGUAUUGUUCACAGAGGAUGGACAGUGUGCGGUCAGUUCUGGAUGUGGUCAUUGUUGCAAGUUGGACAAGAUAUCUUCAUUGUUCUCUGGCAUCACAGGAAUGUCUCCAGGAGGACUUACAAAGGUCCUCAGGAGGAGUUACAGAGGAACAUGAGAACAGGAACCUUUGCUUUAAACGCUGGUUGACUCCUGGCAUGAAUGCAGCUGGUUCUAAGUGUUGCUCUUGUUGUUAAGUGGAUCAGAUUUCCUCACCCUUGUCCAUUAGUGAGGCACCCCAAGAGGAUUACAAAGCAGACCCAGGCACCUCAUGUUUAGGACCACAGAACCCUGUGCAUGCCCACAUCCAAGGGUAUGCAAUGUCUUGGGUGCUCAGAUGAUCAUCACAAUCACAGAGCAAGAGGAGCAUAGCAGAAGCUCACAGAUAUCUUCUCUGUGCUGGGCACUACUAAGGAGCUCUCAAAUAGCUACCCACCAACUGGUCAUAGUGACUCUGUGCCAUAGGGACUGUCCUUCUUCCCAUUUUAUAGAUGGGAAGCCAGAGCUAAGAGAGGUUUGCAGAAAUGGCCCCAGACUGCACCAGUGAGGAGCAGAGCUGCCACUGGAUUCCAGGCAUUUCCACUUCAGAAGCCCCAUCUCAGCCUCUAUGCUACAGUUUUUCCACCACAUUUUCCUUUUAAAAGAUUUAACAAUGAAGAUUUAAAGAAAAUUACUACCUUGACUUGUACUUCAUGAUUCACCAUUUUGAUAUGGAACCAAAGUAAUAAGAAAACGUCCUGACCAAGGCCUGACAGGGAAGUCUGAUGUCUGCCGUACUUUGCCAAGUAAAGAAACAGAACUGUCACUGCAGUGUGUGUUAAGAAAAUGUUCCAUAUUCUCUUUCUUAGUUCGAGUUGCCUUGAUUCUCUAGAGACCCAUAACAACAAGUCUCAGCUCUGAAACUUGCAAGGCCUGUGGGUAGAAUGAUCCCCAUUUUGCUGAAACAUAGUCUUUUGGCAGAAUUUUUCUGAUAGAGAAUCUAAAAGUCUCUAGAGGCUCAGUUUCCCAGAUACUUUGUGCGGCUUUCUGUGCAUCCUCUUUCCAAAGAUCUAUCCUCAAAACGUGGACCUAGAGGUGGUAUCACAUGUGUGAUAUACAUUUUUUGUAAAACUAGGAAUUCUAUUCUUUUUUUUUUUUUGUAUUUGACACUUCUUUACUACAUCUUUUAAAUUUGGAGGUACUCCUGAGUUCCAGAUUCUCACUGUGUGCCAAGAUUGAGUGGUGCAUGGUUACCCCAGUGCCUACUACCCAGCCUGGUGCCCAAUAUACAUUAAAUGUUUGCUAAAUAAAGGGGACACUGAAUCCACUGAAUCAGGGACACUGAAUGAGUUGAACUGAAUUCCCUGAAAUGUAAUCAAAAAUUGAACCCUAAUUUUAUGCUCAGGUAGAUGUGGUA
Molecule: long non-coding RNA, 1505 nt
Filed under: Marmota monax (woodchuck)
Lineage: Eukaryota; Metazoa; Chordata; Mammalia; Rodentia; Sciuridae
Source: RNAcentral